RNAcentral lists this ribosomal RNA (492 nucleotides) under uncultured bacterium. RNAcentral describes it as "partial 16S ribosomal RNA". It matches the Rfam family "Bacterial small subunit ribosomal RNA", at positions 29 to 507 of the family's 1533-position model. The record is from RNAcentral.
AGUGAACGCUGGCGGUAGGCCUAACACAUGCAAGUCGAACGGCAGCACAGUAAGAGCUUGCUCUUACGGGUGGCGAGUGGCGGACGGGUGAGGAAUACAUCGGAAUCUACUUUUUCGUGGGGGAUAACGUAGGGAAACUUACUCUAAUACCGCAUACGACCUACGGGGGAAAGCAGUGGAUCUUCGGACCUUGCGCGAUUGAAUGAGCCGAUGCCGGAUUAGCUAGUUGGCGGGGUAAAGGCCCACCAAGGCGACGAUCCGUAGCUGGUCUGAGAGGAUGAUCAGCCACACUGGAACUGAGACACGGCCCAGACUCCUACGGGAGGCAGCAGUGGGGAAUAUUGGACAAUGGGCGCAAGCCUGAUCCAGCCAUACCGAGUGGGUGAAGAAGGCCUUCGGGUUGUAAAGCCCUUUUGUUGGGAAAGAAAAGCAGCAGGUUAAUACCACGCUGUUCUGACGGUACCCAAAGAAUAAGCACCGGCUAACUUCGUG